AGAUGAGUUCUCCCUGAGACUUUAAGUCUCCUGAAGGAACGUUGAAGACGACGACGUUGAUAGGUCGGGUGUGUAAGCGCAGCGAUGCGUUGAGCUAACCGAUACUAAUGAACCGUGAGGCUUAACCUU
This 129-nucleotide ribosomal RNA is filed under the name Enterobacter hormaechei. RNAcentral describes it as "partial 23S ribosomal RNA". It matches the Rfam family "Bacterial large subunit ribosomal RNA", at positions 2802 to 2925 of the family's 2925-position model. The record is from RNAcentral. Lineage: Bacteria; Pseudomonadati; Pseudomonadota; Gammaproteobacteria; Enterobacterales; Enterobacteriaceae.